Molecule: long non-coding RNA, 3269 nt
Organism: Gadus macrocephalus (Pacific cod)
Lineage: Eukaryota; Metazoa; Chordata; Actinopteri; Gadiformes; Gadidae
Exons: 4
Source: RefSeq, a predicted model, not a curated record
GUAAACAAAUAUAAGUAAACGAUCUACUGCGUUUUUUCCAUUACAUUACAUCACAUGAAUCAAUUGUUAACGUAACAGUGCUUUGAAUCCAGAACACGGAAACUCGCACGUUGAAUUGUGUGUCUGCAGGUCAGUCUUGCCCUCUCCAAUAUGGCGGCGACGUUUGCGUACGUCCAAAGACCAAUGCGGCUUCUAUGUUUAUAUGUCUAUAAAAAAUCACACGUGCUGCGGCUCAGUGUGACACGCAUGAACUCACGUUGACCAAUAACGUGAAAAUUGACGUUUUCCGGCUUUUAUAGCAUCGACAUCCCGCCUUCGAUCAAUUAGCAACCCUGGGGGCACUCGGUGGAAAGUACAACGGCAGAUGCUGAGGUCUUAAUAAAUCCUCCUUCAUCUCAGAGAGACAAGACAGUCAGGAGCCCAGGAUCAACUCCACUGCAGUGUGAUCAAGAUGUGAAGGAUUCCACUACUUGGCCCUUUCUGGACCUAGGAGGGCGCCAGAGGUCCAACUUGCGAUGGUCCUACCCCCCCCAGGAUCCCUUGCGGUACCCUGAACUCGGCGACGACGCCGAAGGUCACCACAAUAUAUCAGUCUCCUUCUCGGCCGUGGUCCCCAUGGCACUCAUUGCUGCACUCUGCUAUCUGAUAGAGUCGCACCGGUUCUCCAGGUCUGAAGACCUGUAGCUCCGCAACCUGCAUUCUGCAGUUCCGGCAUCCGUGGUCAUGCUUUAAAACAGGCAAGUUCAGUUAAGCCCCGAAUAAGGCAGGUGUUCACUCCCUGGCAGAACUGCAUAACAUUCAUUCUGCGCACCCAAGUGUAAAGGGUCGCACAAAUUCAUGAUCCGUACUGCUCUAUUUAUUACUCACUGCGUUGUUAUUUUACACACGUUCCAGGUCUAUUGUGUCUAUAGUAUUUUUAUUAUACAGGAAAAACGAUAUUAUCUAAUAGGCCUACUGGUAAAUUCAAAAGCUGUAGGGAUUGCAUUUUAAGAGUGAGUAUGAAAUUCGUAACAAUCUAGCUUACCAUCCUGCAUAGACAGAAGGAAAAUGUCAGCAACUUUUAGUAUACUGGCGUUUAUUUAUUUUAGUUUGUUUGCUCAAUGAUCUUGUGUGCACUUACGUGGAUUUCUUUUGCAUUUCCCCCCGGCAAGCAAAUCAGCCCAAACCCCAGGACUGGUGCGAUUAAAAUUAGAAGGCAGUAUAGUAAAGAGUGACCUUGAAAAAAAACACAUUGACACCAGAAUGAACUUAAGUAACUGAAAUAGUAGCCUGUGUCGUUACAAAUACUAUUUGUUGUUUGGGAAUGCUCUGUUUGACAUGACGGGCAUUACAGUUUAUAUACAAUUUUCUCAAAAAACAGUCUUUUUUUUUUUUUUACCCCCACCAACCUCUAGAAAGCUACUCUACCACUAUAGUCCUUGUCUGCCUGUGUCCCUCAAUUAAAUUCACCUUUGGGCUGCUGGCAGACAAUCUUCUCGUCAGAGGAAACGCCCCCCAAAGAGCACGUGAUGAGUCGCGUUGAUUUGUCUGAACAGUUGAAGAACGCAGUGCUCGAGAUGUUGAACAGCAGAGAAUUCUUAUCCUGCGUGACUAUGUUCUCCCAUUGAUGCUCAAGGACACCAGAAACAUUCCAUGAUAUUUUGCUGACUGGAUAGACCGCGACGGCAGUACACGUCAGCGAGGCAUUGGAGACGUCACCAGAGCUCCCAGGAAUGCGACGCUCUAGUGUCACUGUAUCGGGGGUUGCUAAAGAGGGAAAACGAGAAGUUCAUUAACGAAGAAAACGGGAGAUGACAAAGCAAACACGCCGGGCGAAUCUUCACACUUCCCUUUUUAUGUGAAGCAAAAGGGAAGUCAUGGUUCGAAUCAUUCAGGGGAUCAACUAAAGUGAAAAUAAAUUGGCAUCCCGACGUGUGUUCCAGAGGUCCAAUCUAAAAUUCCUCUGAAAGUCUGAAAAUAACUUGGAGGAAGUUACAUGCUUUGGAUAAAGAGUUUAUCCGUCCACAUUUGUGCACUUCAGAACAAACUGAUUGGGGUGGUGGAAUGUAAUAGGUAUUAUAUAUUAUUCCAAUGUUCUUGUUGGGAGUGGGAAUCAGUGCCUGGAGGGCCUACCAGUUAUGCUGAGCGUUGUUUUGGUGUCUUCAGUUUUUCCUCUACCGACGCCAUGGUUUACGAUGCAUUUAUAUGUCCCUUCAUCUGAGACGGUUAGAUUUCCAAAGGUUACCGUUUUAUCCACAUUGUCCAAGAAGGUGUCAGGUCGAAGGACUUCGGUCUUGUUCGUCGGAGCAUGAUAUCCAAUUAUAACCUUUUUAAAAUCUGUGCCUCCUUGAAAGGACAUAGACUUUAUAUCCAUCUUUAUUGAGUUGCAUUGAAACAACACCGUCCCUCCGACUUCUCCAGAAAGAAGAAGGCCGGUACAAACUGAAAGAGAAAGGUUGUAAGUCAUGUGAAUACUAUAUUUUUACUAGUUUCAAAAACACUUUGAGGUGGACAUCUUUUAUAUAUUGUAGUGUCAUAUUUUGGUUUGAAAUAUUACAUGACAUGAUUGAAUCAAUUGUCAUUGAUUAUAGGCUAUGAGGGUAACAGCUCAAAUUAUUACAAUUAUUAUGGUUACUGGAACUCUUCAAUAUUUAAAAAUGUCUUACCUUUGAAAAAGAAGGGAAAUGCCAACAACAAAAAUAACAUCUUCAUCUGGGAAAGAUGACAUUACUGAAAUGAAACUUAAUUCUUCAACAUGCAUCACAAAUUCAGUAGAAAAUAUCAAAUAACUUUUGGCCAUAGAAGUCCAUAAUGAGCUGCUACAUCACCGUUGUGCUCACCAUUAGGGGUUCUCCAUAGUCUGCCCACGCAUAUGUUGUUUGUGUACGUGCACAGGGGUGUUAGAGGGGAUUAUUUAGCCCCAACAAACUUUUGAGUCACCCCUCGCAACACAUCCUCUCACAAACGUCCGUGGCAACACACACACACACACACACACACACACACACACACACACACACACACACACACACACACACACACACACCAUAUUGCCCACAACCGCCUCUGUGCUAUAUAUAUAUAUAUAUACUUAAUAUAUAUGAAGACAUCGGACUGACUUAUAUGUAUAUUAAUAAACAAUCUAGCAACCGCGUGGCUCCCGCAAUCAUAAUUCCUUGGUGAAGCUACCAUGCCAUGAUGAAGGCUUUGAAUAUUUAUUUAUUUAUUCUGCUCCACACAUUUUUGCAUUCCACAUGGUUAGAGUACAUUCCGCAUACUAUGCAUACUAU